AUCACCAGUUGAUUGGAGCAUUGCUUCCAAUGAUUCGUUGUUUAGCCUUCAAUUAGGAAAUAGUUUCUCCAGAGAGCGUAAGCCUGCAGAAGUAGAAUUACAAGUCAGCCCAUCCCUUCCUGUUUCAGUGGCAGAUACAGAAUGUCGGGUUGCAGUGGCGGACACAGAUAACCCGCCAUCAGUCCCCAUGGAGGAAAUAAUAGAAGAAACUACUGAAACAAAAAAAGCUGAGGAGGCAACUGGACUAGCUAAUGAGACAACCUCCAAGGAUGCAACAAAGCCAGGUGAUGUCG
Molecule: unclassified non-coding RNA, 293 nt
Filed under: Hevea brasiliensis (rubber tree)
Lineage: Eukaryota; Viridiplantae; Streptophyta; Magnoliopsida; Malpighiales; Euphorbiaceae
Source: RNAcentral